GACGAACGCUGGCGGCGUGCUUAACACAUGCAAGUCGAACGGAAAGGCCCUGCUUUUGUGGGGUGCUCGAGUGGCGAACGGGUGAGUAACACGUGAGUAACCUGCCCUUGACUUUGGGAUAACUUCAGGAAACUGGGGCUAAUACCGGAUAGGAGCUCUUGCUGCACGGUGGGGGUUGGAAAGUUUCGGCGGUUGGGGAUGGAUUCGCGGCUUAUCAGCUUGUUGGUGAGGUAGUGGCUUACAAAGGCUUCGACGGGUAGCCGGCCUGAGAGGGUGACCGGCCACAUUGGGACUGAGAUACGGACCAGACUCCUACGGGAGGCAGCAGUGGGGAAUAUUGCGCAAUGGGCGGAAGCCUGAUGCAGCAAUGCCGCGUGCGGGAUGACGGCCUUCGGGUUGUAAACCGCUUUCGCCUGUGACGAAGCGUGAGUGACGGUAAUGGGUAAGGAAGCACCGGCUAACUACGUG
This 468-nucleotide ribosomal RNA is filed under the name uncultured bacterium. RNAcentral's name for it is "partial 16S ribosomal RNA". It matches the Rfam family "Bacterial small subunit ribosomal RNA", at positions 28 to 507 of the family's 1533-position model. The record is from RNAcentral.